UCUCUCUCUCCUGCUCUGCCAUGGUAAGACAUGCUUGCUUACCCUUCGCCUUCCACUGUGAUUAUUAGGUACCUGAGGCCUCCUCAGCUAUGCCUCCUAUACAGCCUGCAGAACUUUGACGUGGGAUUUCACCAUAUUGGCCAGGCUGGUCUCGAACUCCUGACCUCGUGAUCCACUGGCUUCUGCCUCCCAAAGUGCUGGGAUUACAGGUGUGAGCCACCACACUGGCUUACCAAGGACAAGUUCAUCUUCAAGAAAACUAAGAGAUCUCUUCCCCUGACAAAAAACAACUCCAUGUUUGAUGGGACUCAGACCUGGGCUCUUCUGUCACCUCUAGGUAGGGAGGUCUUGGAGAGCAAGUGAGACCAGAGUGUUCAUGGAAAGUCACCAUCCACAGACAUUGGAAAAAUAGUCAUUCCCAAUUUCUGCUAUGUGAUCCCGUUUAGGAGUCACCCUACCAAGUGGGUAUGAUGAUGAAGGUGAGCUGCUAAGAAAGAGGUUGAGAGACAGCUGAUGUUUGUUUCAAGCAAAUCUUCUUUAACCCGAGGCACCAGGAGCAGAGGGCCAGUGGGUAAAAAGGUUAAGUAGGAUGGAAUCUACAAUAAAGCCAAAUGUGUGGG
RNAcentral lists this long non-coding RNA (620 nucleotides) under Homo sapiens (human). Its description in RNAcentral is "HSALNT0377553". Lineage: Eukaryota; Metazoa; Chordata; Mammalia; Primates; Hominidae. The record is from RNAcentral.